RNAcentral lists this transfer RNA (69 nucleotides) under Cnemotriccus fuscatus. RNAcentral's name for it is "tRNA-Ala". It matches the Rfam family "tRNA". From Rfam's summary of the family: Transfer RNA (tRNA) molecules are approximately 80 nucleotides in length. Their secondary structure includes four short double-helical elements and three loops (D, anti-codon, and T loops). Further hydrogen bonds mediate the characteristic L-shaped molecular structure. tRNAs have two regions of fundamental functional importance: the anti-codon, which is responsible for specific mRNA codon recognition, and the 3' end, to which the tRNAs corresponding amino acid is attached (by aminoacyl-tRNA synthetases). tRNAs cope with the degeneracy of the genetic code in two manners: having more than one tRNA (with a specific anti-codon) for a particular amino acid; and 'wobble' base-pairing, i.e. permitting non-standard base-pairing at the 3rd anti-codon position. Lineage: Eukaryota; Metazoa; Chordata; Aves; Passeriformes; Tyrannidae. The record is from RNAcentral.
AAAAUCCUAGCUUAAUUAAAGUAUCUGAGUUGCAUUCAGAGGAUGCAGGUUAGUGUCCUGCGGGUUUUA